CGGGUGAGUAACACGUGGGAACGUACCUCUUGGUUCGGAACAACACAGGGAAACUUGUGCUAAUACCGGAUAAGCCCUUACGGGGAAAGAUUUAUCGCCGAGAGAUCGGCCCGCGUCUGAUUAGCUAGUUGGUGAGGUAAUGGCUCACCAAGGCGACGAUCAGUAGCUGGUCUGAGAGGAUGAUCAGCCACAUUGGGACUGAGACACGGCCCAAACUCCUACGGGAGGCAGCAGUGGGGAAUAUUGGACAAUGGGCGCAAGCCUGAUCCAGCCAUGCCGCGUGAGUGAUGAAGGCCCUAGGGUUGUAAAGCUCUUUUGUACGGGAAGAUAAUGACGGUACCGUAAGAAUAAGCCCCGGCUAACUUCGUGCCAGCAGCCGCGGUAAUACGAAGGGGGCUAGCGUUGCUCGGAAUCACUGGGCGUAAAGGGUGCGUAGGCGGGUUUCUAAGUCAGGGGUGAAAUCCUGGAGCUCAACUCCAGAACUGCCCUUGAUACUGGAAGUCUUGAGUAUGGGAGAGGUGAGUGGAACUGCGAGUGUAGAGGUGAAAUUCGUAGAUAUUCGCAAGAACACCAGUGGCGAAGGCGGCUCACUGGCCCAUAACUGACGCUGAGGCACGAAAGCGUGGGGAGCAAACAGGAUUAGAUACCCUGGUAGUCCACGCCG
This 664-nucleotide ribosomal RNA is filed under the name bacterium. RNAcentral's name for it is "bacterial SSU rRNA". It matches the Rfam family "Bacterial small subunit ribosomal RNA", at positions 103 to 802 of the family's 1533-position model. The record is from RNAcentral.